CAGCCGCCGCGGUAAUACGAAGGGUGCAAGCGUUACUCGGAAUUACUGGGCGUAAAGCGUGCGUAGGUGGUGGUUUAAGUCCGUUGUGAAAGCCCUGGGCUCAACCUGGGAAUUGCAGUGGAUACUGGAUCACUAGAGUGUGGUAGAGGAUAGUGGAAUUUCCGGUGUAGCAGUGAAAUGCGUAGAGAUCGGAAGGAACAUCUGUGGCGAAGGCGACUAUCUGGGCCAACACUGACACUGAGGCACGAAAGCGUGGGGAGCAAACAGGAUUAGAUACCCGGGUAGUCCCUGUCUCUUAUAA
This 301-nucleotide ribosomal RNA is filed under the name uncultured bacterium. Its description in RNAcentral is "partial 16S ribosomal RNA". It matches the Rfam family "Bacterial small subunit ribosomal RNA", at positions 509 to 809 of the family's 1533-position model. The record is from RNAcentral.